GUGUGUGUGUGUGUGUGUGUACAUGCAUGCUUGCAUACUUGUGUUUACUAGGCCAUCCUCUCACCCUCUCAGCUUGAGAGUGUGUGUGCACAUACUCACAUACACAUAGAAGGAAAACAAACCUCAGAGACGCUGGGCUCUGUAAAUGAGGAUUUUAGUGAUCCCCAGUUAAUUCCAUCCAUUUCCACUUAAAGGAGCUGGGUGACCCUAGUGAUUUGCUGAACCUCUUGAGCCAUAUUUCUCUCAUUUGUCAAUUGAGGAUAUGACUGUCUGACUGGGUUGUUACAAAGAUUAAAAGCAGUUACAUGUGGGAUAGCUGUACCCUAACCCCUAGAUUUCUGAAGCCCCACAAAAACAGAGAUUGCAUUGUUUGUCAGGAAAUUAGCCUUUCUCUAAUUACAUCAGAUGUGCCCCAGCUAGCUUUCACUGAGGAAGUACUGUAGUUCCCAUUGUAAAGAUGAAGGAACUUCUCAAGAGUUACCCAACCAGUGAUUGGCCAAAUGAAAUCCCAGAAAAGGGAUCAGGCAGCUGGCCCCUUGCAUUUUCUUAUGCAAGAACUUGGUAAUUUUCCUUUUUGGUGUAUGACUCCACUUUCCAAUAUCUCCUUCUUAUGCACAAUAUAGCAAACCAGAGCCUUGCCCAGAGGGAAAAGAACACUGGAAACACAGGUUCUUGCAGACAUAAUUACAGUCGUUCUGUCACAGACAUCGUCUUUUUCAUUCUCCAGCAGCCCUAUUUGGCUCCUGUUUAUAAAUUCUCAUCUCUGCUGCCCACACCCUCCUCCAUCUUUCCUAACCUACAGACUGGAGUUCCACAGCCUUCCACCAUCCAUAUCUGGUGACAAUGCCGUCAGGGUCAAUCACUAUUCUUCUCUCCCUGUCUUCUGUGGGUCUCCCCCUUCUUGACUCCACAGCUUACUGGCAUCUCUAGAACCCCACCUGCAUCUCUCUGACUCUGGGAGAGAGCCAGAAUCUACCUGGGACCCUUUCCCUGCGCUGUGCUAAAAUGCGUAGCUGGCUCGAGUGACUCCCUCCCUCUCUCAGGACCACAGCACGAUGUCGGGAGCAUCUGAUAUCUGAAAACUACAGCCCACCUGUGUUGUGCACAGGUUGUUAAUUGUGUUGGGUGGGAGAGUAAACAUAGACCCUGUAACAAUGUCUUCCCUUAAGCAGAUCCACUAAACUAUGGGUACUUUAAGGCUGAGGAUCCUGAUGCUGGAAGACAGCAAGCAACUUGCCCUAGGCCACUCCCUGAUACCUGAGAGCUGGGUUUUUAACUAGCCUCACUUUGUCUCCAGAAUAUCAGCAGUUAGCAUCCAUCCUCUUGCCUUCCUGAGAGCCCAGUCUUCAGUUCUACAUCUCUUCAAAAGAGCACCACCUUUCUGAGGGUGCUGUGUCCCUUGUGGUUGAACUGUCCAGAGCCUUUUGUAGCCGAAACCAACUCAUCUGAGAACUGCUCCAGAGAGCUGAUGUGGAUGGAUUCUUCACAAGUGAUCCGCUAGUGGUCUGUCAUGACAGUCACAAGGUGACUGUAGAUGUUAAAUGGCACCCAUGUAGGAGUAUCAUAAACACACUUGUUAACUCAUUCCUUCAACAAACGUUGAGAGCCCUAUGCAUGCCAGGCACUGUUACACUGUUCAUGCUAUAACAUCGAUCAAGAUGCAUGUGGAGUCCGCAGUCUAGCACAAGGGAGAAGUAAACAAAUAACUUAUACAAGAGCCUUGAAGAUGAAGCAGAGUGCCAAGCUAAACACAGCACCUGUGGGCAACAACAUAUGCUGAGUUCUUAGACUUGGCCUAAUAUCUUCUUUCUCACAUCAUUCCUAGGCUCAUUAAGAGCUUUAUAGAACAGUGUACCAAUAUGGUGAGAGGCCUGGUGCCCAUGCUACGGCUCGGGGGAUCUGAAGUGCUAAGGACCAACGACAAGACGUCACAUUUGCAAUGUAAGGGAAAGAGCAUCCCAGGCACAGUGGGCAGAUGUAGAAUCCCUGCCUGGUGCCAUCUCCCCCCUGAGCUUCUUGUUCUAAUGUGCAUGGGUGUGUACAUGCAUGUGUACAUGUAUGUGUGCAUGCACAUGCACAUCCGAAGACCUAGAAAUCUCUCUCAUUCCUGCCCAUCCAGGAGCCCCGGGCAUUGUUUUAUAGGAACUCCAGUGGAUGACAAGGACCAGGGUCUUCAAAGUCUCUGAGCCUUGAGUCUCCUCUGCUCUCCUAAGGUCAGUAUGAAGAUUAAAUAAAAUGUGAAACUGUCUUUGAACACACUUUGGCCCGUGCAGUGUAGGAACAGAAGUGACUUAUUAUCUAGCAGUACUAAAAAAAAAAGAGAGAGAGAGAGAGAGAGAUUUCUUUUAAGAAAAGCCCAGGUAAGGCACAGGAUUACUACAUUGAGAGUGUUGUUUUUGUUGUUGUCGUUGUUGUUUUGUUGUUUCUUAUAAUUACAGAGAAAACCUGCUUCCAUUUUAGCAAAGAAUGAAUUCAUCACUCUACCUACGGUCUUGUUCCAACAGGUCAGAGGCUUCCAGAGUAACAAAAAUGUCAAGACAUUAAGUCCGGAUGUAAAUGACCUGACUCCCUCUCAGGCUUGCUGAGUGAACCUGAGCAGGUUCAAACCGCUUUGAAGAAGAGCCCCUGGCUUAUUGGGUUUCUGACUGCGGGUACCGGGGCUAGCCAAGACUCUCCCCCAAGUCCUUAACAAGUGAGCUCAUCGCUUGUGUGUAGAGGGAACUAUCUUUUGUCUGGACAAAUCCUUCCACUCCCACAUCUCCAAAUGGACUUCUAAAAAUACCCAUUCACGUGUCUCCUCUAAGCAGGAGGCCUUCCGCUCCUCUUCCACCCUCAUUCAAUCUGAAUGGCUAGUCAGAUGACCGAUGAACCACCGACAGAGGCCAUGUAAAACAACCAACAGGUUCCCAGCCUGGAGCAAUUUCCCUGCAGCUGCUGAGUCAAAGCCCAGCAGGCAAGGCUGAUCCCUGUGGGUGUGGCCACCUCACACAGGCCAGCCCAGCAGCCUGGCACUGUUUGCUGACAGGCCCUAAGCAAUGGAACAGCAGAAGCCAAGUGGGAACUUGUGUUUGGACUGCCAGUGUCCAUGGCAACAGAAAGAAUCCAAGGGGACUGACCUUUGAGGCCAUUUUACAGAUGAGCAUACUGAGGAUGCAACAUGGGCAAUGCGCUCACCUGUGGCCUGAUGGAAGCCUGAGAUUUCAACUCUGAAGCCCUCUUUGCUCCGAAGUUGCUAAGACAACACCAUGGCUUAGCAGUUAAGCUAGGCUCCCUCCCAAAGCCUCACCCACACCCCCAUCCAGAGAGGAUUUCUGUCUAGCACCAGUGGAAAACAUGGAGGUUCCCUUCACUCCAGGACCUUCUUGUGAAACCUAAGAUCUUUUUUCUCUGUGUCUGAGCCUGGACAGUCCAUCUACCUGGAGAAGAAGACAGAUAAAUCCAGCCAGUGCCUACAGUUUUCUUCCACUCCCUGUCCCUGUCUUCUAAUACUUACCAAAAUAAAAGCUUGCCUUUGACCACCGUACGCAUUGAAAACGUUCACCUCA
RNAcentral lists this small RNA (3545 nucleotides) under Rattus norvegicus (Norway rat). RNAcentral's name for it is "uncharacterized LOC100911555". Lineage: Eukaryota; Metazoa; Chordata; Mammalia; Rodentia; Muridae. The record is from RNAcentral.